UGUUAGGUGGCUGAGUUAAAGCGAUAGACUGCAGAUCUAUUAAUGGAGUUAGUUCUCCCCAACAA
Molecule: transfer RNA, 65 nt
Filed under: Oncomelania hupensis hupensis
Lineage: Eukaryota; Metazoa; Mollusca; Gastropoda; Littorinimorpha; Pomatiopsidae
Description: tRNA-Tyr
Rfam family: tRNA
About the family: Transfer RNA (tRNA) molecules are approximately 80 nucleotides in length.
Source: RNAcentral